This is a long non-coding RNA of Neogale vison (American mink), 1833 nucleotides long. RefSeq lists it as uncharacterized. The record is from RefSeq and is a predicted model, not a curated record. Lineage: Eukaryota; Metazoa; Chordata; Mammalia; Carnivora; Mustelidae. The transcript has 6 exons.
GGACUUCAAGGAUUCAUUCUGAACCUUCAGGAUGAGGCAUUGCAGAGAUGGCUCCCACGCACCCCGGUGACCUCCAGCAGAGACACGCCAGGAAGACAGGCAGGGGCCGUGCAGCAGGAUCAUGUUCUGGGCUAGAAAGUACGUCCGCUCAUUACCCGACCUUUGCUAAGUACACCAACUAAUGGAGCGAGAGACAUGAAAGAUCUUCACAGGCCAUGUGGAAAUGUAAUUCACACCCAGCCCGAGGAGGUCACGGUGCUGCUCUAGAAGACUUUGGAGUGCCAUGAGGACAAGAAAACAAGAGGAAUAGACUUUGUCAGGGAGGAACAGCCAAGGAAGACUUCUCUGACCCUGCGGCAGCCUCAUUCCCCCACAGAUCACCACCGCAGCCAGCACCUAGCACCGGGCCUGGUUCCAGCAGGCGUUUGAGUGAAGGAUGGGCCUGAGGUGAAAGUCUCCUACAGCAGACCUCAGGUGUUUGUCAGGAGUGCUUGGUUUGUUUUUAAGAUUUGCUCCCCAUGGCUUGGAGCUAAAAUCUAGCUGAAAUGUCAUCCAGAAGGAGAGAAGCUGGUACCAGAGGCUCCCAAAGUGCACCCAACUCCCAAAUGGGACCCCUGGAAGGCCAACACUUCUCAGUCUCCCUCUCUCCGGAACAAGACCUUCGUGGGCUCCUAACAGGGAGAGGAAAACCCGAGCAAACUCUGUAAAGGUCAGCCCUGUCAACCCAGACAACCUGGCACACGGCAUCGAUCCCUUCCUGGGAAAAACCUCUUCUCCUACCAGCUCAAGCCAGCCACGAAGGCCUUCAGAAAAACAAAGAAGAGAAAAACCGAGAGAGAGGGCAAGAGUGAGGGAGUGAAUGCAGAAUGUGUCUCUUUUCUGCUUCUCGAGAGAGCCAUGGGCUUCACAGCUGGACGGCGGUGCUGGCUGGGCCCCUGUGAGCCUGGGCUCUGCUGUUUACUGGCUGUGAGGCAGCUGUGGACCUUAACUUGGUCCCCUGGAGACAGGACCCCGUGGGGUCUUCAGCCCAAUUCCUGCUGUCUCCAACCAUGGGACUGGAACACAAGAACCCUACAGGGAACCCAAGGGAAACAACCCCAUUGUCACAUUUACAACACAUCCACUGUGGGCUCCAGGGCCCAUCAGACCCCACCAGCUGGCCGUCCAUCAGAGGCAAGAACUGGGGCCUUCAAGCCACCUGAAGCCAACCAAAAUAUAUUAAUGGUCAGCCCAGUGUUUCCAAGGGGCAAGGGUGUCAUCAGCCACAAGCGAGUUGUGACUAUUAUCCCCCGAGGCUGGCUUCCCAUCUUUCUGUACCAGUCUGGCCCCUGUAGAGAUUUCCACUGGAGACCCCGGCUAUGCUGUGGCACUUUUUGAGCAGUCCUGGUUCCAUUUUAAUCUGUCCUCCUGCUGUGGUAUUAUUCCAAAGUCCCGUUCCGAUGUCCUCAUCUACACCCACAGCGAACAAGACAACGGGCAAUGUACAAAUGGCUCUCGCAGCCUCACUGUGGCGCAAGACAAGCCUGAUUCGUGCGUAUGUGUGUGGGGCGAGGGAGUCCCAGGUCUCUGGUGUGCCUCCCUCUGGGAGUGCCCACACGCAGCACAGUUGAGAGGAACAAGCCUGUGAGGCAGGGACCAGAAGCCCCGCUGUGCCAUCCAAGCACCUGCAGGGUCUGGUCCCGGCGAGUUCUGAGCCGCACCUCCCAUAGCCCCCUGCCCCAAAGGCCAACGGCCCUUGCCCACCCACAUGCUCCAUGGGGCCCCUCUCCAACCACGUAUGCUGUUCCUUUCAUCUGAAAUGCCACCUUCGGGGCGCCUGGGUGGCUCAGUGGA